AGUGAACGCUGGCGGUAGGCCUAACACAUGCAAGUCGAACGGCAGCACAGUAAGAGCUUGCUCUUACGGGUGGCGAGUGGCGGACGGGUGAGGAAUACAUCGGAAUCUACUUUUUCGUGGGGGAUAACGUAGGGAAACUUACGCUAAUACCGCAUACGACCUACGGGUGAAAGCAGGGGAUCUUCGGACCUUGCGCGAUUGAAUGAGCCGAUGUCGGAUUAGCUAGUUGGCGGGGUAAAGGCCCACCAAGGCGACGAUCCGUAGCUGGUCUGAGAGGGUGAUCAGCCACACUGGAACUGAGACACGGUCCAGACUCCUACGGGAGGCAGCAGUGGGGAAUAUUGGACAAUGGGCACAAGCCUGAUCCAGCCAUACCGCGUGGGUGAAGAAGGCCUUCGGGUUGUAAAGCCCUUUUGUUGGGAAAGAAAAGCAGCAGGUUAAUACCCCGCUGUUCUGACGGUACCCAAAGAAUAAGCACCGGCUAACUUCGU
RNAcentral lists this ribosomal RNA (491 nucleotides) under uncultured bacterium. RNAcentral's name for it is "partial 16S ribosomal RNA". It matches the Rfam family "Bacterial small subunit ribosomal RNA", at positions 29 to 506 of the family's 1533-position model. The record is from RNAcentral.